RNAcentral lists this ribosomal RNA (354 nucleotides) under Acanthamoeba sp. Its description in RNAcentral is "SSU rRNA". It matches the Rfam family "Eukaryotic small subunit ribosomal RNA", at positions 776 to 1116 of the family's 1831-position model. Lineage: Eukaryota; Discosea; Longamoebia; Acanthamoebidae. The record is from RNAcentral.
CAGAUCCAAUUUUCUGCCACCGAAUACAUUAGCAUGGGAUAAUGGAAUAGGACCCUGUCCUCCUAUUUUCAGUUGGUUUGCCGCGAGGACCAGGGUAAUGAUUAAUAGGGAUAGUUGGGGGCAUUAAUAUUUAAUUGUCAGAGGUGAAAUUCUUGGAUUUAUGAAAGAUUAACUUCUGCGAAAGCAUCUGCCAAGGAUGUUUUCAUUAAUCAAGAACGAAAGUUAGGGGAUCGAAGACGAUCAGAUACCGUCGUAGUCUUAACCAUAAACGAUGCCGACCAGCGAUUAGGAGACGUUGAAUACAAAACACCACCAUGCGCAUUGCGGUCGUCUUUGGUGUCGCUCACAAGGCGG